This 1560-nucleotide long non-coding RNA is filed under the name Bemisia tabaci. RNAcentral's name for it is "lncRNA ENSSSA1NGG003699". The record is from RNAcentral. Lineage: Eukaryota; Metazoa; Arthropoda; Insecta; Hemiptera; Aleyrodidae.
CAAAGUCCUGAUGAAAAGGAAAGGGUGCGUCGAUUUUGGCAACACCUCUAUCAUGUGAAGAGGUACUUGUGAUUCGCAUCGCAACCGUCUCACCCCCCACAUGAUCCCUUUAACGCAGAAGAGAUUAAAAGAAAUCUUACACAGAGAAGCACGAUCGCACGAUUGAGAAGCAAAUCGCACAAAGUCCUGAUGAAAAGGAAAGGGUGCGUCGAUUUUGGCAACACCUCUAUCAUGUGAAGAGGUACUUGUGAUUCGCAUCGCAACCGUCUCACCCCCCACAUGAUCCCUUUAACGCAGAAGAGAUUAAAAGAAAUCUUACACAGAGAAGCACGAUCGCACGAUUGAGAAGCAAAUCGCACAAAGUCCUGAUGAAAAGGAAAGGGUGCGUCGAUUUUGGCAACACCUCUAUCAUGUGAAGAGGUACUUGUGAUUCGCAUCGCAAAUAUUCCUGCCCAUUCACCUAUGUCCAUCCAAGUCCCAUCCACCACGAUUAGCGGAGACAAGUGGGCGGUCGGAUCAAGUAUAGUUCGCUCUCAGCUCCGGAAAAUGCACCCUAGAUAGCCUUCUGAUUUUAGGUCGAUAUCGUGGCUGCAUCGAAUGAGCAAUAAUCGCACGAGCCGCUUAUUUCCGAUGACAGCUUUCGCUUUCAGAACAUUAAACACAUCAAAAACACCCGAGUUGGCGUUGAGCUACUGGACGAGGUAUCGUUAGUACCUACGUAUAGAUUGACUUUUGAACAUGGUGUAUGUAUACUGUAUGGUUUUAUCUCAUUCAAAUCAUGCCGCCUCCCCCCCCCCCCCCCCCCCCCCCCCGUAAUUUUAAAAUGACUUCUUCCGACCGGCAUGAAAGACGUGUCACUAUUCGAGAAAAAUACUUCAACGAAUUUAUCCCCCUUUCUCUACCGUUCAUUUCACAGGAAAAACGCCGUACCUACCUUCUCCUAGACGAAGCACAUUUUUCUCGGACAGAGUGUUGUACCAUUCGGAACUUAUAACGGAAUUAUGAGGCAUGGAGAUGACCAGAUAGUCUUAAAACGGAACAUUUAGUCUAAAACAUAAUUUUCAAAUCUAAGUAGAAUGAAUCCACACCGUUCUUGCUGUAGAGAGCAGAGUUUGACCGCGUUUAGCAAAACGGAACCAAGCCACAUCUGCUUAUGCCAAAUAAUUGGGCAAUUAAAUUUUUUAACGUGGAAACGGAUGUGCAUAUUCCGAAGCAUAUUCCUUUAAAUUUUUAAAAGAAUCCUCACAAACGUUCUCUUUUCAAAAAUGAAAUAGCCCAGUUUCUGGCAUUAGCUGAUGUGGCUUCGAUCGUUUCUGCUUAACACUGUCCAAUACUACUUUCUGCAAGCGAGCGCGCCGCAACUUCAUUCUUGAUUCGAAAAUCGUGUCCCAGACAAAAUGUUCCGUUUCGAGAAAAGCUGGUCAUCUCCAUGCCUUGCAUUUGAACUUUGCUCUUUUACCGGCUGAUCCUUCUGCGGGCCGAUUAUUGAAAUUGAUAGACAAAGCUAUAGACAAAGGGGACAGAAGAGAUAUGAAAUGAUGCUAUUGCUGGGAGCGGGUG